UAGGGAAUCUUCCGCAAUGGGCGAAAGCCUGACGGAGCAACGCCGCGUGAGUGAUGAAGGUCUUCGGAUCGUAAAACUCUGUUAUUAGGGAAGAACAAAUGUGUAAGUAACUAUGCACGUCUUGCCGGUACCUAAUCAGAAAGCCACGGCUAACUACGUGCCAGCAGCCGCGGUAAUACGUAGGUGGCAAGCGUUAUCCGGAAUUAUUGGGCGUAAAGCGCGCGUAGGCGGUUUUGUAAGUCUGAUGUGAAAGCCCACGGCUCAACCGUGGGGGUUCAUUGGAAACUGGAAAACUUGAGUGCAGAAGAGGAAAGUGGAAUUCCAUGUGUAGCGGUGAAAUGCGCAGAGAUAUGGAGGAACACCAGUGGCGAAGGCGACUUUCUGGUCUGUAACUGACGCUGAUGUGCGAAAGCGUGGGGAUCAAACAGG
RNAcentral lists this ribosomal RNA (429 nucleotides) under Actinomycetes bacterium. RNAcentral describes it as "Actinobacteria bacterium partial 16S ribosomal RNA". It matches the Rfam family "Bacterial small subunit ribosomal RNA", at positions 355 to 776 of the family's 1533-position model. Lineage: Bacteria; Bacillati; Actinomycetota; Actinomycetes. The record is from RNAcentral.